UAAGUAGUUGGCAAGCGUUGUCCGGAAUUAUUGGGCGUAAAGCGCGCGCAGGCGGUUAUGUAAGUCUGAUGUUAAAGCCCGGGGCUCAACCUCGGUUCGCAUUGGAAACUGUGUAACUUGAGUGCAGAAGAGGAAAGUGGUAUUCCACGUGUAGCGGUGAAAUGCGUAGAUAUGUGGAGGAACACCAGUGGCGAAGGCGACUUUCUGGUCUGUAAAUGACGCUGAGGCGCGAAAGCGUGGGGAGCAAACAGG
This 252-nucleotide ribosomal RNA is filed under the name uncultured bacterium. RNAcentral describes it as "partial 16S ribosomal RNA". It matches the Rfam family "Bacterial small subunit ribosomal RNA", at positions 524 to 776 of the family's 1533-position model. The record is from RNAcentral.